CUUUCUAGGUUUUUUUUUUUUUUUUUUUUUUUUUUUUUUUUCUAUCACUUUCUCUUUGAUUUUCUAUUCUUUGAUUUCUCUCUACUGGGUUCCUUUCCUUGAUUCCUACACCAUCAAGGCCAUGACUACACUCAAUCAGGUUACAAUCUCAGCGCUGGAGGCGUUUUAACCAAUUUGCAGCAAAGAAUUAUAAGCCACAGGAGAGAGAACCUGAAAGCUAGAGCGAGACAAAACGAAGAAGAAGAAGAAGGAGGAGAAGAAGAAGAAGAAAGAGGAGGAAGAGAUCAUCGGAGCUCCGACGCGACAAGAUUCAAUUCCAAGUUUCUCCGGUAUCAUCUACGGAUUGUAGCAGCAAUGUCGACUGCAUCCAACACCAUUUCCAUACUAUAAUUGUGACAGAUGGAAGUAUAGCAAGUAAGAAGACCAUCACAGCCAUAAUUUUGCCUGCCAUAUUUGUUUGUUUGCAAACAUGUUAGUUCAAACGAGUUGAGCCAAGUCUAGUCGAGCUUUGCAAGGCUUGAGCUUGAAAAUCAAGCUUGAGCUUGGCUCAAAAAUUAUUCCAGCUUGAGCUUGGCUCAGCUUGUUUGCACUAAUCAUGCUUGAGCUUGGCUCAAAGCUUGAUAAUGAAGAAAAAGUUUGGCUCAAUAGUUAAGCUCGGUUGGCUCGUUAAAUAUUACUCUAUAUUAAAUAUGCAUAUAUAACACAUUUUGUAUUAUUUAAAUAAUAAUAAACAGACCAAGCUUUAUAAGCCAAGCUUAUUCUAGCUCGAGCUUAAACAAGUCUAAAAAUCUAGCUCGAGCUCUUUUUAUACGUAGCAAGCCGAGCUUGUGAGCAGCUGGGCUCAUUUGUAGCACUAGUCUUGUCUAAGAAGAGUUGUGCCAUAUGUCCCCAAUUUUUUUUUUUUUUUUU
Non-coding RNA from Camellia sinensis, 909 nucleotides. Lineage: Eukaryota; Viridiplantae; Streptophyta; Magnoliopsida; Ericales; Theaceae. The record is from RefSeq and is a predicted model, not a curated record.